CUCCUCCUCAGGGGGGCUUUCCCAUGCAAACUUGGGAGCUGAUCCUCUGUGACCAACUCCUCCUUUCCUUCAGAUUAGUUCCAGUCAGCACAGAGCAGGAGGAAGCUUCUUUUUUCGUGGGAUGAAGCAUCCAAAUUGCUAAGUAAAAGGGUUAACGCUAACAAAGGGCUAUAGAACUCUGUGAUGUCACAGGCCGAGGCAGUUAUUUUCCGUUGGUUCAGUUAUGGCAGUUAUUAACAGUCUUCACAGUCGGAGCAGCAGGUAUGUUCCGUUAUGCUGCUGUCUACCUCAGAGUUAGUCUCGGGAGUCAUUGACCUUGUAGCACUGCCUCAAUGAUCGGGAACAGUCCUGUGUGAACAAGAAGACAGGCGAGGAAGCUAAUCGUGCAUCCUGAGUGCGAAUCCAUUCGGGCCAAAUGCUGGGAGGAGAAAGGAAAGAUUCCAGGGGAUUGGACUAGAUGACCAUCUGGGUUACUUCUAACUCUACAGUCCACCUGCCAGGGAUUCUUAAGCUGUGAUUCCUGCAUUGGAAGGAUUGGACUAGAUGACGCUAGAGGAUGCAUCCAACUCUACAAUUCUAUGGUUCUAUGACAGAUGCCAUCCCAACCUG
Molecule: non-coding RNA, 609 nt
Organism: Podarcis muralis (Common wall lizard)
Lineage: Eukaryota; Metazoa; Chordata; Lepidosauria; Squamata; Lacertidae
Source: RefSeq, a predicted model, not a curated record